ACUACGGGAGGCAGCAGUGAGGAAUAUUGGUCAAUGAGCGCGAGCCUGAACCAGCCAAGCAGCGUGAAGGAUGACUGUACUACGGAUUGUAAACUUCUUUUAUCAAGGAAUAAAGAGAGGCACGUGUGCCUUGUUGUAUGUACUUUAUGAAUAAGCAUCGGCUAACUCCGUGCCAGCAGCCGCGGUAAUACGGAGGAUGCGAGCGUUAUCCGGAUUUAUUGGGUUUAAAGGGUGCGUAGGUGGGUUGUUAAGUCAGUUGUGAAAGUUUGCGGCUCAACCGUAAAAUUGCAAUUGAUACUGGCAGCCUUGAGUAGAGUUGAGGUAGGCGGAAUUCGUGGUGUAGCGGUGAAAUGCUUAGAUAUCACGAAGAACUCCGAUUGCGAAGGCAGCCUACUAAACUGCCACUGACAUUGAUGCUCGAAAGUGUGGGUAUCAAACAGGAUUAGAUACCCUUGUAGUC
Molecule: ribosomal RNA, 460 nt
Filed under: uncultured bacterium
Lineage: Bacteria
Description: partial 16S ribosomal RNA
Rfam family: Bacterial small subunit ribosomal RNA
Source: RNAcentral